GCGCCUGUAGCUCAAUUGGAUAGAGCGACAGACUACGGAUCUGUAGGUUGUGGGUUCAAAUCCCGCCAGGCGCACCA
This 77-nucleotide transfer RNA is filed under the name Bacillota bacterium. RNAcentral's name for it is "tRNA-Arg". It matches the Rfam family "tRNA". Rfam says of the family: Transfer RNA (tRNA) molecules are approximately 80 nucleotides in length. Their secondary structure includes four short double-helical elements and three loops (D, anti-codon, and T loops). Further hydrogen bonds mediate the characteristic L-shaped molecular structure. tRNAs have two regions of fundamental functional importance: the anti-codon, which is responsible for specific mRNA codon recognition, and the 3' end, to which the tRNAs corresponding amino acid is attached (by aminoacyl-tRNA synthetases). tRNAs cope with the degeneracy of the genetic code in two manners: having more than one tRNA (with a specific anti-codon) for a particular amino acid; and 'wobble' base-pairing, i.e. permitting non-standard base-pairing at the 3rd anti-codon position. The record is from RNAcentral. RNAcentral also lists the same sequence under 1 other name. Lineage: Bacteria; Bacillati; Bacillota.